GCUUCUUGCGGGCUGCUUGUAUGCAAAGGGGAAAAAAUGCUUGGACAAAACAAAAUUCUUAGCUGUUGGUUUUAUUGGAGGACUUGGAGGCGGAGGAGGGCUGCCCCGUCUCCGGCGUUUCCAUAGCCGGGCGCUCGGGCCGUCCCGCCAGACCCUGGCACCGAACUCGUUUUCCUGCGUCGUUCUGUGCCUCGGUGCCCUCUGUGCUUCUCCGCUCGUCCCGAACUGUUUCAGACUGGUUUCUCUUCCAACCUGCCUGCUUCGGACGUGUCCCGUAGGGCACAGAUUUGCCUUUACCGUGUCCUUCUUUCCCGGAGAGGGCGUUCGGGCAGAUGUUCAGAUUCAAAGGACCUGUAAACCGAAUCAGCGGCAUCUGUCCUGGAUGGGAGCACAGCCCGAGAAAGUCCCACUGCUCCCUGACUUCCUAAAUAAACCGCCUUUAACUGCAUUUUGAAAAAUUCGUUUACAAAAGAAUUGCCGUCUGACUUUUAGUGCUUGUUUAGAGCGUGCUACUGAAACUUUAGAGAUCUUCUUUGAGUAACCCUUGGCUUCUUCGCUUAAGCUAUUUAUCUACUUAACUAUUUACUAGACCUAUAAUCGACUAAUUUAUGCGGUAAUAAGUGCCAUUGAUCUUGGAAAUCAGACUGGGUUACUCGUUGAUGUAAAAUUCCACAAACCAGUAAAUUAUUGCAAAGCCUUGGAUUUUGUACCUUUAAAAGAUAAACCAUCUAAAAAUGUGAUAGUUUCUCUUUUUAUUUUUAGUGGAACUUGUAAUUUCCUUCUCAGAAGUGCACUACAAAUGCAUAAUGUUGUCAUCUGAAGGGAUUUGUUCCUGGUGAUUUGUGUAGAAUACUUUGUGUAAAUAAAUCUAAACCCAGAGUUGGUGGGAAAAGGGGGACCCAUAAACUUGGCAGAGUCGAGACUGAAAUAAUUUUGUAAAUUGCAGCAAAUAUUCAUCUGCAACACGAAUUAGACUGAC
Molecule: non-coding RNA, 979 nt
Organism: Zonotrichia albicollis (white-throated sparrow)
Lineage: Eukaryota; Metazoa; Chordata; Aves; Passeriformes; Passerellidae
Source: RefSeq, a predicted model, not a curated record